Molecule: ribosomal RNA, 460 nt
Filed under: uncultured Pelotomaculum sp.
Lineage: Bacteria; Bacillati; Bacillota; Clostridia; Eubacteriales; Desulfotomaculaceae
Description: bacterial SSU rRNA
Rfam family: Bacterial small subunit ribosomal RNA
Source: RNAcentral
GCACAAGCGGUGGAGCAUGUGGUUAAUUCGACGCAACGCGAAGAACCUUACCAGGGCUUGACAUCCCCUGACCGCGUAUGAAAGUACGUUUUCACCCUCGGGUGACAGGGAGACAGGUGGUGCAUGGUUGUCGUCAGCUCGUGUCGUGAGAUGUUGGGUUAAGUCCCGCAACGAGCGCAACCCCUACGUUUAGUUGCUAACGCGUGAAGGCGAGCACUCUAGACGAACUGCCGUUGACAAGACGGAGGAAGGUGGGAUGACGUCAAAUCAUCAUGCCCCUUAUGUUCUGGGCUACACACGUGCUACAAUGGCCGGUACAGACGGACGCAAAGCCGCGAGGUGGAGCAAAUCCUAAAAAGCCGGUCUCAGUUCGGAUUGCAGGCUGCAAUUCGCCUGCAUGAAGUCGGAAUCGCUAGUAAUCGCAGGUCAGCAUACUGCGGUGAAUACGUUCCCGGGCCUU